AGAUACCCGGGUAGUCCUAGGCGUAAAUGAUGCGAGUUAAGUNUGGGGGCAUCUACGAGAUGGCCCUGUGCUGUAGGGUAGCCGUUAAACUCGCUGCCUGGGGAGUACGGUCGCAAGGCUGAAAUUUAAAGGAAUUGGCGGGGGAGCACCACAAGAGGUGGAGGCUGCGGUUCAAUUGGACUCAACGCCGGAAAACUCAUCGGGAGCGACAGCAGUAUGAUUGCCAGGUUGAUGACCUUGCUUGACAAGCUG
This 252-nucleotide ribosomal RNA is filed under the name uncultured archaeon. RNAcentral's name for it is "partial 16S ribosomal RNA". It matches the Rfam family "Archaeal small subunit ribosomal RNA", at positions 731 to 982 of the family's 1478-position model. The record is from RNAcentral.